UGGGGAAUAUUGGACAAUGGGCGGAAGCCUGAUCCAGCAACGCCGCGUGAGGGAUGACGGCCUUCGGGUUGUAAACCUCUUUCAGUACCGACGAAGCGGAAGUGACGGUAGGUACAGAAGAAGGACCGGCCAACUACGUGCCAGCAGCCGCGGUAAUACGUAGGGUCCGAGCGUUGUCCGGAAUUAUUGGGCGUAAAGGGCUCGUAGGCGGUUUGUCGCGUCGGGAGUGAAAACAGCGGGCUUAACUCGUUGCUUGCUUUCGAUACGGGCAGACUAGAGGUAUGCAGGGGAGAAUGGAAUUCCUGGUGUAGCGGUGAAAUGCGCAGAUAUCAGGAGGAACACCGGUGGCGAAGGCGGUUCUCUGGGCAUUACCUGACGCUGAGGAGCGAAAGUGUGGGGAGCGAACAGGAUUAGAUACCCUGGUAGUCCACACCGUAAACGUUGGGCGCUAGGUGUGGGGUCCUUUCCACGGAUUCCGUGCCGUAGCUAACGCAUUAAGCGCCCCGCCUGGGGGAGUACGGCCGCAAGGCUCAAAAAC
Molecule: ribosomal RNA, 538 nt
Filed under: uncultured bacterium
Lineage: Bacteria
Description: partial 16S ribosomal RNA
Rfam family: Bacterial small subunit ribosomal RNA
Source: RNAcentral